AUACGUAGGUGACAAGCGUUAUCCGGAUUUACUGGGUGUAAAGGGCGUGUAGGCGGUUUAGCAAGUCAGAAGUGAAAUUCCCGGGCUUAACUUGGGCGCUGCUUCUGAAACUGCUUUACUUGAGUGCUGGAGAGGAUAGUGGAAUUCCUAGUGUAGCGGUAAAAUGCGCAGAUAUUAGGAGGAACACCGGUGGCGAAGGCGGCUAUCUGGACAGUAACUGACGCUGAGGCGCGAAAGCACGGGGAGCAAACAGGAUUAGAUACCCUGGUAUUCCACGCCGUAAACGAUGAAUACUAGGUGUAGGGAGUAUCGACUCCCUCUGUGCCGCAGUUAACACAAUAAGUAUUCCGCCUGGGGAGUACGGCCGCAAGGUUGAAACUCAAAGGAAUUGACGGGG
RNAcentral lists this ribosomal RNA (397 nucleotides) under uncultured bacterium. RNAcentral's name for it is "partial 16S ribosomal RNA". It matches the Rfam family "Bacterial small subunit ribosomal RNA", at positions 523 to 918 of the family's 1533-position model. The record is from RNAcentral.